UUCACAUCUAUAAGAUGAAUAAGUGCUUAUUGACUCUUUUCUACUUAUUUAUAAAUAUUUUUCAAUCCCGACCUAAUGGAUUAACAAAAGAAAAAACAUGGUAACUAUGCACAAAUGCACAAUAAUCUAUUAUCUUAAUUAAAUAAUUUCUCUAGGUCUUAUUUCCUAAUUUCCAUAUGCUUGGUCCUCAUGAUAUAUCUUCAAUCCCAAAAUAUAAUAUAAUAUAAAUUAAUGGUGGUAAUAGAGUUUGGUGAUUUCUCUAUAGAGACUUGCUUGCUAUUUAGUGCAAAUAGAAAACAGAUGAUAUCCCCGUGAGCUUAGCUCAGUUGGUAGGGAUAUUGCAUAUUAUAUGCAGGAGCCGGGGUUCGAACCCCGGACACUCCACUUCUCCACAAUUAAAUUGUGUGAGUUCUAGCCACUAGGCUACUUCACCAAAAAAAAAAGAAAACAGAUGAUGAAACUUGGGACAUGCCGGCAAUAAUUGCUUUUUACAUUUUAAAAAUAAUUAAUAAUUACUACCUCUUUUUUUAAUUAUAAGAUUCUUUAAAAACAAAAUUGAUUUAAAAAUAAUUAAAUAAUGUGGAACUUCUGAGUCACCUUACAUCUGUCACAACGAUCUUCUCUGUAAGUAUGAGUCUUUUCAAUCAUUAUACUUCACUUUAAGCAGAAGCUUUUUUCUUCCAUAUACACUUUCUUGCACUAUCGUCGACCGCAUUAAUCUCACACUUACCACACCACUAUUUUAGUUAUUUUAUUCAGUCAAUUACCAAAAAUAUUAUUUAUAAUUAUAUUAUAAUAUAUGAAAGAAAAUGCACUAUUGUAUUACUACAUACCUUAUUUUCAAAAUUAUAAUUAUGUGAUAAAAUCCAAUCUUCAUCUUUUUUUUUUUAUUGAUUAUUUUUUUGAACGACAAAUAUAUAUUGAAAAAGAAUUUUGGAAAAUAGUACAAGAGGUACUUCUCCCACAUUUUGGAACCUAGUACGAACAGUACUAAAUCUACAACAGAAACAAAUCAGAAUCAACUAGCUUGUUUGAUAUAUAGUGGCUAAACUUUAAGAUUAUAUGCUAACAAGUAUCUUGCUGCAGGGUGCUUCAGUUUGUCAUUCCUAUUGUUCUUGGAUGCAGGAAUCAAAAUAAUGAAAAUGGGAUUUUAUAGAGAGUACAUUAUUCAUUGCAUGAAAACUUAUAAUCUUUUUUUAAAUGUAAAUCUUAUUUCAAAAGUUUGUACGAGAGGUACUUUUUUUACUCCAAAAUUUGAAUUUUUUGGGGUGUUUGACACUGUUCC
This 1285-nucleotide long non-coding RNA is filed under the name Medicago truncatula (barrel medic). Its description in RNAcentral is "long non-coding RNA (MTRU_LNC003986)". Lineage: Eukaryota; Viridiplantae; Streptophyta; Magnoliopsida; Fabales; Fabaceae. The record is from RNAcentral.